CCGAAGUAAAUUCCCCAGGAAGGUAGAAAGGACGAAACUUGAGUGCCAGAAGUUCCAGGUUAGGUGUGCAGGAGCGUGCAAGAGUAACGACAUUGGUGUUAUCACACCAGCUGCUGUUUACCAUCAUGCACACACCACCUCCUCGUCUUUCCCGACUCCAUUGUUCUGUCCAUGCGGUAUACCGAGAUGAACUCGGCCGGCUGGAUGACGUGGUCCGGUAGCGCUGGGUUCAGCCAUGUCUCGGUGAAGCAGAGAAGGUUGCAGUCCCGAAUGUCUCUCUGGAACUUGAUCCUGGUUCGGAGGUCGUCGAGCUUGUUGUCCAGAUACUGGGCAUUGGCUAACCGGAUACUAGGCAGGGGAGCUCGGUGAAUAGCUGAAGAAAGCUGCAUGAUGAGGCUAAUAAAAAAAAAAACCUAAAUUACAAAGAAACUGAGAAACUACGCAAAGAUCUGUGGUUUUGAAAUGGUUUUGCAUGCAAGUGUUCUUCCAGACAGCAGCUGACAGUUGAGGAACACCAAGAUGGAGUAACCACAGCACAGAUGCAUCCCUGUUCCUCUUUAUGAACUGUGAAACUAACGGCUUCUAGACACGACUCUGAGUGGUCAAGAUGAAGGCACCACUCACUUCUACCUCCUUCUCUUAAUAAAAGGCUGCACAUGCCAUAGAUCGAUGGACUUCUGUAGAGCUUGGUACACAGAAGAACCCCUAAGCUCAGAAUACCUUUACCAAUUGCUUGUAUUUAUGUUUAAAUAAACUUUGUCAUGUUUAGUUAAA
This is a long non-coding RNA of Trichomycterus rosablanca, 774 nucleotides long. RefSeq lists it as uncharacterized. NCBI's taxonomy places the organism in Eukaryota, Metazoa, Chordata, Actinopteri, Siluriformes, Trichomycteridae. The record is from RefSeq and is a predicted model, not a curated record. The transcript is spliced from 2 exons.